Molecule: long non-coding RNA, 528 nt
Organism: Hippocampus comes (tiger tail seahorse)
Lineage: Eukaryota; Metazoa; Chordata; Actinopteri; Syngnathiformes; Syngnathidae
Exons: 2
Source: RefSeq, a predicted model, not a curated record
AAAAUGAGCAGACUUUCGUCAAUACAAAAAGUCGAAAUUUUAUAAGAAUUAAGAUUUUUUUUUUUGUUUUUUUUUUGGGUUGAGGAAAAAAGCUUGGAUCUUCUGAGAAUGAAGUUGAGUUUUUUUAAUGUCAGAAUCUUAAGAGACUUAAGUAAUAUUUCUUGACAAAAAAAGUUGCAAUAUUAUAAGAAAAAAAUGUUUUCCCCCCCCAUAAGAAAAAUGUCAUGAGGAUAAUGUCGAAAUGUUAUGAAGUUUGCACUGGAAAGUCCUCUUUUUGGAAGAAUUCUAUUUUUUUUUUUUUUUAAAGUCACAAAGGUGCAUUUUUCACACACACAAAAAAGCCCAAAUCAUGCAAGAAUAAAGUCGUAUAUUUGCUGAGAUAAAAAGUCAAAAUCUUGUCAGACUAUAGUUGUAUCUUUGAGAACCAAUCUUUUUUUUUAGUUGAACUUUGGCAAGAAUAAAUUCGAAACAUGUUUUUCAUAAAACAUCAAAUGAGUCAAAUUAAAUGAUUAACUGUAUUUUAUUAAA